Molecule: ribosomal RNA, 443 nt
Filed under: uncultured bacterium
Lineage: Bacteria
Description: bacterial SSU rRNA
Rfam family: Bacterial small subunit ribosomal RNA
Source: RNAcentral
GGCCGCGGGAAUUCGAUUCAGGCCUAACACAUGCAAGUCGAGCGAGAAUCAGUGAAGCAGCGAUUCGUCAAAGCGGAUCUGAGGAAAGCGGCGGACGGGUGAGUAACGCGUAGGCAACCUGCCCUUAGCAGAGGGAUAGCCAUUGGAAACGAUGAUUAAAACCUCAUAAUGCUGUUUUAACACAUGUUUUGACAGCCAAAGAUUUAUCGGCUAAGGAUGGGCCUGCGUCUGAUUAACUAGUUGGUGAGGUAACGGCCCACCAAGGUGACGAUCAGUAGCCGACCUGUGAGGGUGAUCGGCCACAUUGGAACUGAGACACGGUCCAAACUUCUACGGAAGGCAGCAGUAAGGAAUCUUGCACAAUGGGGGAAACCCUGAUGCAGCAACGCCGCGUGAACGAUAAAGGCCUUAGGGUUGUAAAGUUCUGAUCUGGGGAAGAAGAA